RNAcentral lists this ribosomal RNA (468 nucleotides) under uncultured bacterium. Its description in RNAcentral is "bacterial SSU rRNA". It matches the Rfam family "Bacterial small subunit ribosomal RNA", at positions 30 to 490 of the family's 1533-position model. The record is from RNAcentral.
AUUGAACGCUGGCGGCAUGCCUUACACAUGCAAGUCGAACGGCAGCACGGGAGCAAUCCUGGUGGCGAGUGGCGAACGGGUGAGUAAUAUAUCGGAACGUGCCCAGUCGUGGGGAUAACGUAGCGAAAGCUACGCUAAUACCGCAUACGAUCUAUGGAUGAAAGCGGGGGAUCGCAAGACCUCGCGCGAUUGGAGCGGCCGAUAUCAGAUUAGGUAGUUGGUGAGGUAAAGGCUCACCAAGCCGACGAUCUGUAGCUGGUCUGAGAGGACGACCAGCCACACUGGGACUGAGACACGGCCCAGACUCCUACGGGAGGCAGCAGUGGGGAAUUUUUGGACAAUGGGCGCAAGCCUGAUCCAGCAAUGCCGCGUGCAGGAUGAAGGCCUUCGGGUUGUAACUAGCUUUGUUACGGAACGAAACGGUAGAGCUCUAAUACAGUUUGCUAAUGACGGUACCGUAAGAAUAAG